UUCUGUGUGUUCUUCGUGUUCUUGUUUAGGGUUUGAGAAAGAAAUAAUUUUGUCGUGCGGUUGCUUUUGUUGUUUUAGGGUUUUGAAAAAUAGCUUUGUUGCGUUUAUGUUGUUCUUGAUUUUGGGAAAAUCUCUUACUGUGAUGUGUUGUUCUUUAGGCUUUUUGAGAAAAAGUUAUUUUUUUGUUGUUGUUGUGGUUUUGGCUUUUGAGAAGAAAUCUCUUACUGUGUAUCUUUCCUCUUAACGCCUCAUGAACGUU
This 259-nucleotide long non-coding RNA is filed under the name Lathyrus oleraceus (garden pea). Its description in RNAcentral is "Pisum sativum (pea) long non-coding RNA (PSAT_LNC000044)". The record is from RNAcentral. Lineage: Eukaryota; Viridiplantae; Streptophyta; Magnoliopsida; Fabales; Fabaceae.